GCAGUCGACGCGAAAGUUUCCUUCGGGAGACGAGUAGAGUGGCGCACGGGUGAGUAACGCGUAAACAAUCUACCCUGGUGUCUGGGAUAACCAGCCGAAAGGCUGACUAAUACCGGUUAUAUACUUUACUGUCGGGUGAAGUAGGAAAGGUGGGGCUCCUUCGGGACCUACCGCAUUGGGAUGAGUUUGCGUACCAUUAGCUAGUUGGUGGGGUAAAGGCUUACCAAGGCAACGAUGGUUAGCGGGUCUGAGAGGAUGAUCCGUCACACUGGCACUGGAACACGGGCCAGACUCCUACGGGAGGCAGCAGUGAGGAAUAUUGCGCAAUGGGGGAAACCCGGACGCAGCGACGCCGCGUGAGUGAGGAAGGCCUUCGGGUCGUAAAGCUCUGUCAGAUGGGAAGAAGUGCUACGUAGUUAAUAUCUGCGUAGUUUGACGGUACCAUCAGAGGAAGCACCGGCUAACUCCGUGCCAGCAGCCGCGGUAAUACGGAGGGUGCGAGCGUUGUUCGGAAUCACUGGGCGUAAAGGGCGCGCAGGCGGUUUUGUAAGUCAGAUGUGAAAGCCCACGGCUUAACCGUGGAAGUGCAUUUGAAACUGCAGGACUUGAGUACCAGAGGG
This 620-nucleotide ribosomal RNA is filed under the name uncultured delta proteobacterium. RNAcentral describes it as "bacterial SSU rRNA". It matches the Rfam family "Bacterial small subunit ribosomal RNA", at positions 57 to 656 of the family's 1533-position model. Lineage: Bacteria; Deltaproteobacteria. The record is from RNAcentral.